Colletotrichum sp. SAR11_240 is the source of this 95-nucleotide non-coding RNA. The record is from the annotation of a GenBank genome assembly. Lineage: Eukaryota; Fungi; Ascomycota; Sordariomycetes; Glomerellales; Glomerellaceae.
GGCCGGUUGGCCCAAUGGCAAGGCGUCUGACUACGAUUCAUAUCCAAAAAAAUCGUGCAAUCAGGAGAUUCUGGGUUCGACCCCCAGGCUGGUCA